RNAcentral lists this unclassified non-coding RNA (352 nucleotides) under soil metagenome. RNAcentral describes it as "partial contains 5.8S ribosomal RNA, internal transcribed spacer 2, and large subunit ribosomal RNA". The stretch from base 1 to 120 matches the Rfam family "5.8S ribosomal RNA", at positions 35 to 154 of the family's 154-position model. The record is from RNAcentral.
GAUGAAGAACGUAGCGAAAUGCGAUAAGUAAUGUGAAUUGCAGAAUUCAGUGAAUCAUCGAAUCUUUGAACGCACAUUGCGCCCGCCAGUAUUCUGGCGGGCAUGCCUGUUCGAGCGUCAUUACAACCCUCAGGCCCCCGGGCCUGGCGUUGGGGAUCGGCGGGGCCCCCCGUGGGCACACGCCGUCCCCCAAAUGCAGUGGCGGUCCCGCCGCAGCUUCCAUCGCGUAGUAGCUAACACCUCGCGACUGGAGAGCGGCGCGGCCACGCCGUAAAACACCCAACUCUUCUGAAGUUGACCUCGAAUCAGGUAGGAAUACCCGCUGAACUUAAGCAUAUCAAUAAGCGGAGGA